UGGGGAAUAUUGCACAAUGGGCGCAAGCCUGAUGCAGCCAUGCCGCGUGUAUGAAGAAGGCCUUCGGGUUGUAAAGUACUUUCAGCGGGGGGGAAGGCGAUAAGGUUAAUAACCUUGUCGAUUGACGUUACCCGCAAAAGAAGCACCGGCUAACUCCGUGCCAGCAGCCGCGGUAAUACGGAGGGUGCAAGCGUUAAUCGGAAUUACUGGGCGUAAAGCGCACGCAGGCGGUCUGUCAAGUCGGAUGUGAAAUCCCCGGGCUCAACCUGGGAACUGCAUUCGAAACUGGCAGGCUAGAGUCUUGUAGAGGGGGGUAGAAUUCCAGGUGUAGCGGUGAAAUGCGUAGAGAUCUGGAGGAAUACCGGUGGCGAAGGCGGCCCCCUGGACAAAGACUGACGCUCAGGUGCGAAAGCGUGGGGAGCAAACA
Molecule: ribosomal RNA, 427 nt
Filed under: uncultured bacterium
Lineage: Bacteria
Description: partial 16S ribosomal RNA
Rfam family: Bacterial small subunit ribosomal RNA
Source: RNAcentral